This 292-nucleotide unclassified non-coding RNA is filed under the name Hevea brasiliensis (rubber tree). Lineage: Eukaryota; Viridiplantae; Streptophyta; Magnoliopsida; Malpighiales; Euphorbiaceae. The record is from RNAcentral.
GGUAGGCAUCCAAAAUGUAAAGCUAAUUAUUAAUUUAUUUAGUAGUGAAGUAUACCUGGGCUGAUCAAAGUCCUAAUAAUAUCAACCCCUUGGUUUAUCAGAAUGCUUUCAAAUAGAGAAUCAGCCAGACGUUCAAGGAGAAGAAAGCAAGCCCAUCUUACAGAACUUGAGACACAGGUAUCUCAACUGAGAGUAGAAAACUCCUCCCUACUGAAACGUCUGACUGACAUAAGCCAGAAAUACAAUGAAUCAGCUGUUGAUAAUCGUGUCCUAAAAGCAGAUGUUGAGACAU